RNAcentral lists this ribosomal RNA (253 nucleotides) under uncultured bacterium. RNAcentral's name for it is "partial 16S ribosomal RNA". It matches the Rfam family "Bacterial small subunit ribosomal RNA", at positions 524 to 776 of the family's 1533-position model. The record is from RNAcentral.
UACGUAGGCAGCAAGCGUUGUUCGGAGUUACUGGGCGUAAAGGGUGCGUAGGCGGCUUUUUAAGUUUGGUGUGAAAUCUCCCGGCUCAACUGGGAGGGUGCGCCGAAUACUGAGAGGCUAGAGUGUGGGAGAGGAAAGUGGAAUUCCUGGUGUAGCGGUGAAAUGCGUAGAUAUCGGGAGGAACACCAGUGGCGAAGGCGAUCACCUGGGGUUGUUCUGACGCUGAGGAGCGAAAGCUAGGGGAGCAAACGGG